GUUUGCGCGGGAUAUGUCUUGAGUAGAUAUGCAAAUUAAUUAAUUCACUCUUGAUAGUUUGAUAUUAAAAGGCUACCCACAUUAACCACUUCAGAAAAACGAAUUUAGCACGAAAGAGUUUUCUUAGAGAAAGCUUUGCUGUCAUUUAUGGCGCUACGAUCGCUAAGAUACUCGUAAUCGCUGUAAUUGCUAUUUACUGUUGAAGUUAACUUUUAAAGCCAAAACUUGUCUUCACAAAAGGGUAUCUUUGGCAGUUCUUCAUGAAGACCAUUGUUGGAAAAAUGAAUUAAAGAGCAACAUUAUGGGCUCCAAUGUAAAUUUAAUGAAAAUAUUGUACUGUCCUUUUUUCCACUUGUCACAAAAAAUAAAUUCUAAAAUUAUAAUUCCUAAGCAAUCUAUAGAAAAUUGUAUCCUAGAAAAAUAAAAAAAAAGAUUCAGAUAUCUGUUGGAUAUUGUGGAAUAAUAUUCGUACUUGAAAAAAAUAAAACUAAAAAUUAUUCCAAUAAAGGCUUUUGGGAUAAUUUGAAUUCAUCAAUUUUCUUAUAAUUAAAUUUUGAAGAAUAAAAUAAAUCAUGGGCGACGAAUCAACUACAGCUGGUGCCGCAAGUUUCGACAGCUUCAAGAUGUAUUAUAGCCAAAUCGUGAUUUUUGCUGUUUCGGUGGCUUAUGUCUUUCCGAUCUUUGGGAAACUUCUAGAUGAUGAACCAAUAGAAUGGUGUUCGAAAUUAAAGACCGGAUGGAAUUACAUUUGUGACCGAGGGGAAAGAGCCAUAGAGAUCGAGAAACCCCAAUGAUUUGUUUGUGUUCUAUAGCUUUAAAGCUCUAUUUUGGUUUUGAAAAAUUCUGUGGAUAUCCUAUGUAGAUUUUUCUAUCUUAAAGAAAUUAAAUGGUGUUUUUGUGUGUUUAAAAUGAG
Eupeodes corollae is the source of this 913-nucleotide long non-coding RNA. RefSeq lists it as uncharacterized. The transcript has 2 exons. The record is from RefSeq and is a predicted model, not a curated record. Lineage: Eukaryota; Metazoa; Arthropoda; Insecta; Diptera; Syrphidae.